This 76-nucleotide transfer RNA is filed under the name Thermomonas carbonis. RNAcentral's name for it is "tRNA-Ser". Lineage: Bacteria; Pseudomonadati; Pseudomonadota; Gammaproteobacteria; Lysobacterales; Lysobacteraceae. The record is from RNAcentral.
UGCCAGUAGCGCAGGUUGCCAAGGCGCAUCGCGUGGAAAUCGGUGGUGCCGGCGGUGCUGAUGCCGUUGCUGAAGC